GACGAACGCUGGCGGCGUGCUUAACACAUGCAAGUCGAACGAUGAAGCCUAGCUUGCUAGGUGGAUUAGUGGCGAACGGGUGAGUAAUACGUGAGUAACCUACCUUUAACUCUGGGAUAAGCCUGGGAAACUGGGUCUAAUACCGGAUACGACCAAUCUCCGCAUGGGGUGUUGGUGGAAAGCGUUAUGUAGUGGUUAUAGAUGGGCUCACGGCCUAUCAGCUUGUUGGUGAGGUAACGACUCACCAAGGCGACGACGGGUAGCCGGCCUGAGAGGGUGACCGGCCACACUGGGACUGAGACACGGCCCAGACUCCUACGGGAGGCAGCAGUGGGGAAUAUUGCACAAUGGGCGCAAGCCUGAUGCAGCGACGCCGCGUGAGGGAUGACGGCCUUCGGGUUGUAAACCUCUGUUAGCAGGGAAGAAGAGAGAUUGACGGUACCUGCAGAGAAAGCGCCGGCUAACUACGUGCCAGCAGCCGCGGUAAUACGUAGGGCGCGAGCGUUGUCCGGAAUUAUUGGGCGUAAAGAGCUUGUAGGCGGUUUGUCGCGUCUGCUGUGAAGGCCGGGGCUUAACCCCGUGUAUUGCAGUGGGUACGGGCAGACUAGAGUGCAGUAGGGGAGACUGGAAUUCCUGGUGUAGCGGUGGAAUGCGCAGAUAUCAGGAGGAACACCGAUGGCGAAGGCAGGUCUCUGGGCUGUAACUGACGCUGAGAAGCGAAAGCAUGGGGAGCGAACAGGAUUAGAUACCCUGGUAGUCCAUGCCGUAAACGUUGGGCACUAGGUGUGGGGGACAUUCCACGUUUUCCGCGCCGUAGCUAACGCAUUAAGUGCCCCGCCUGGGGAGUACGGCCGCAAGGCUAAAACUCAAAGAAAUUGACGGGGGCCCGCACAAGCGGCGGAGCAUGCGGAUUAAUUCGAUGCAACGCGAAGAACCUUACCAAGGCUUGACAUAUACUGGACCGCAUCAGAGAUGGUGUUUCCCUUCGGGGCUGGUAUACAGGUGGUGCAUGGUUGUCGUCAGCUCGUGUCGUGAGAUGUUGGGUUAAGUCCCGCAACGAGCGCAACCCUCGUUCUAUGUUGCCAGCACGUUAUGGUGGGGACUCAUAGGAGACUGCCGGGGUCAACUCGGAGGAAGGUGGGGAUGACGUCAAAUCAUCAUGCCCCUUAUGUCUUGGGCUUCACGCAUGCUACAAUGGCCGGUACAGAGGGUUGCGAUACUGUGAGGUGGAGCUAAUCCCUAAAAGCCGGCCUCAGUUCGGAUUGGGGUCUGCAACUCGACCCCAUGAAGUCGGAGUCGCUAGUAAUCGCAGAUCAGCAACGCUGCGGUGAAUACGUUCCCGGGCCU
RNAcentral lists this ribosomal RNA (1347 nucleotides) under uncultured bacterium. Its description in RNAcentral is "bacterial SSU rRNA". It matches the Rfam family "Bacterial small subunit ribosomal RNA", at positions 28 to 1381 of the family's 1533-position model. The record is from RNAcentral.